AUGUUUAUAUAUGCAACAUAUAUAUUAAAAUUGGAAUGAUAGAGAAGAUUAGCACGUCCCCUCCACAAGGAUGACAUGCCCAUUCAUCAAGUGUUUCAUAUUUUA
Molecule: non-coding RNA, 105 nt
Organism: Ornithorhynchus anatinus (platypus)
Lineage: Eukaryota; Metazoa; Chordata; Mammalia; Monotremata; Ornithorhynchidae
Source: Rfam